GUGAGGAAUAUUGGUCAAUGGACGGAAGUCUGAACCAGCCAAGUAGCGUGCAGGAUGACGGCCCUAUGGGUUGUAAACUGCUUUUAUGCGGGGGUAAAGUGAGUGACGUGUCAUUCAUUGCAAGUACCGCAAGAAUAAGGACCGGCUAAUUCCGUGCCAGCAGCCGCGGUAAUACGGAAGGUCCUGGUGUUAUCCGGAUUUAUUGGGUUUAAAGGGAGCGUAGGCCGUCAGGCAAGCGUGUUGUGAAAUGUCGUGGCUCAACCAUGGACUUGCAGCGCGAACUGCCCGACUUGAGUGCGCGGAAAGCAGGCGGAAUUUGUGGUGUAGCGGUGAAAUGCUUAGAUAUCACGAAGAACCCCGAUUGCGAAGGCAGCCUGCUGUAGCGCUACUGACGCUGAAGCUCGAAAGUGCGGGUAUCGAACAGGAUUAGAUACCCGAGUAGUCC
Molecule: ribosomal RNA, 445 nt
Filed under: uncultured bacterium
Lineage: Bacteria
Description: partial 16S ribosomal RNA
Rfam family: Bacterial small subunit ribosomal RNA
Source: RNAcentral